UACGGAGGGGGCCAGCGUUGUUCGGAAUCAUUGGGCGUAAAGGGCGCGUAGGCGGCUUUGUAAGUCGGGGGUGAAGGCCUGUGGCUCAACCACAGAAUUGCCUUCGAUACUGCAUGGCUUGAGACCGGAAGAGGUAAGUGGAACUGCGAGUGUAGAGGUGAAAUUCGUAGAUAUUCGCAAGAACACCAGUGGCGAAGGCGGCUUACUGGUCCGGAUCUGACGCUGAGGCGCGAAAGCGUGGGGAGCAAACAGG
This 253-nucleotide ribosomal RNA is filed under the name uncultured bacterium. Its description in RNAcentral is "partial 16S ribosomal RNA". It matches the Rfam family "Bacterial small subunit ribosomal RNA", at positions 524 to 776 of the family's 1533-position model. The record is from RNAcentral.